CCUACGGGAGGCAGCAGUGAGGAAUAUUGGUCAAUGGACGAGAGUCUGAACCAGCCAAGUAGCGUGAAGGAUGACUGCCCUAUGGGUUGUAAACUUCUUUUAUAUGGGAAUAAAAUGUUCCACGUGUGGGAUUUUGUAUGUACCAUAUGAAUAAGGAUCGGCUAACUCCGUGCCAGCAGCCGCGGUAAUACGGAGGAUCCGAGCGUUAUCCGGAUUUAUUGGGUUUAAAGGGAGCGUAGGUGGAUUGUUAAGUCAGUUGUGAAAGUUUGCGGCUCAACCGUAAAAUUGCAGUUGAAACUGGCAGUCUUGAGUGCAGUAGAGGUGGGCGGAAUUCGUGGUAUAGCGGUGAAAUGCUUAGAUAUCACGAAGAACUCCGAUUGCGAAGGCAGUUCACUGGACUGCAACUGACACUGAGGCUCGAAAGUGUGGGUAUCAAACAGGAUUAGAUACCCCUGUAGUC
This 460-nucleotide ribosomal RNA is filed under the name uncultured bacterium. Its description in RNAcentral is "partial 16S ribosomal RNA". It matches the Rfam family "Bacterial small subunit ribosomal RNA", at positions 338 to 795 of the family's 1533-position model. The record is from RNAcentral.